CAGUCGCCGCGGUAAUACGAAGGGGGCUAGCGUUGUUCGGAUUUACUGGGCGUAAAGCGCACGUAGGCGGAUCGAUCAGUCAGGGGUGAAAUCCCAGAGCUCAACUCUGGAACUGCCUUUGAUACUGUCGAUCUGGAGUAUGGAAGAGGUGAGUGGAAUUCCGAGUGUAGAGGUGAAAUUCGUAGAUAUUCGGAGGAACACCAGUGGCGAAGGCGGCUCACUGGUCCAUUACUGACGCUGAGGUGCGAAAGCGUGGGGAGCAAACAGGAUUAGAUACCCGCGUAGUCCCUGUCUCUUAUAC
RNAcentral lists this ribosomal RNA (301 nucleotides) under uncultured bacterium. Its description in RNAcentral is "partial 16S ribosomal RNA". It matches the Rfam family "Bacterial small subunit ribosomal RNA", at positions 509 to 807 of the family's 1533-position model. The record is from RNAcentral.